AUAUACACGAUUAUAUCAGCACAAGAACA
This 29-nucleotide small RNA is filed under the name Bombyx mori (domestic silkworm). RNAcentral's name for it is "ovarian small RNA-12383". The record is from RNAcentral. Lineage: Eukaryota; Metazoa; Arthropoda; Insecta; Lepidoptera; Bombycidae.